This 426-nucleotide ribosomal RNA is filed under the name uncultured Sorangium sp. RNAcentral describes it as "bacterial SSU rRNA". It matches the Rfam family "Bacterial small subunit ribosomal RNA", at positions 353 to 772 of the family's 1533-position model. The record is from RNAcentral. Lineage: Bacteria; Pseudomonadati; Myxococcota; Polyangiales; Polyangiaceae.
AGUGGGGAAUCUUGCGCAAUGGACGAAAGUCUGACGCAGCGACGCCGCGUGGGUGAUGAAGGCCUUCGGGUUGUAAAGCCCUGUGGGGAGAGACGAAUAAGGGUUGGCUAACAUCCAGCCCGAUGACGGUAUCUCCUUAGCAAGCACCGGCUAACUCUGUGCCAGCAGCCGCGGUAAGACAGAGGGUGCAAACGUUGUUCGGAAUUACUGGGCGUAAAGCGUGUGUAGGCGGCUUAGCAAGUCGGAUGUGAAAGCCCUGGGCUCAACCCAGGAAGUGCACUCGAUACUGCUGAGCUUGAGUAUCGGAGAGGUUGGUGGAAUUCUCGGUGUAGAGGUGAAAUUCGUAGAUAUCGAGAGGAACACCGGUGGCGAAGGCGGCCAACUGGACGAAUACUGACGCUGAGACACGAAAGCGUGGGGAGCAAA